Molecule: ribosomal RNA, 1326 nt
Filed under: metagenome
Description: bacterial LSU rRNA
Rfam family: Bacterial large subunit ribosomal RNA
Source: RNAcentral
AGUGGAUGGGGAGCAACCUAGUUGUGCGUGUGUAAAGGUAGUGCCAAGAAAAGCGAUGAUCAUGUUGAAAAUCAAUUCCCGGUACCCGAAACCGACACAGGUGGGCAAGUAGAGAAUACUAAGGGGCGCGAGGUAACUCUCUCCAAGGAACUCGGCAAAAUGACCCCGUAACUUAGGGGGAGGGGGUGCCACCGAGAGGUGGUCGCAGUGAAGAGGCCCAGGCGACUGUUUAGCAAAAACAUAGGUCUCUGCAAACUCGAAAGAGGAGGUAUAGGGGCUGACGCCUGCCCAGUGCCGGAAGGUUAAAGAAGUUGGUCAGUUUUAGGAUGAAGCUAGCGACUGAAGCCCCGGUGAACGGCGGCCGUAACUAUAACGGUCCUAAGGUAGCGAAAUUCCUUGUCGGGUAAGUACCGACCCGCACGAAAGGCGUAACGAUCUGGGCGCUGUCUCGGAGAGAGGCUCGGCGAAAUAGGAUUGUCUGUGAAGAUACGGACUACCUGCAUUUGGACAGAAAGACCCUAUGAAGCUUUACUAUAGCUUGGAAUUGUGUUCGGGCUUCCUGUGCGCAGGAUAGGUGGGAGGCGUAGAAGGUAUUCUUGUGGGGAUACUGGAGCCAACGGUGAGAUACCACUCUCAGGAGGCUAGAAUUCUAACUUAAUUAAGGACAGUUUCAGGUGGGUAGUUUGACUGGGGCGGUCGCCUCCAAAAAGGUAACGGAGGCGUACAAAGGUUCCCUCAGACUGGUUGGAAAUCAGUCGAAGAGUGCAAAGGCAGAAGGGAGCUUGACUGCGAGAAGUACAGUUCGAGCAGGGUGGAAACACGGUCUUAGUGAUCCGACGGUGCUGUGUGGAAGGGCCGUCGCUCAACGGAUAAAAGUUACUCUAGGAUAACAGGCUGAUCUCCCCCAAGAGUUCACAUCGACGGGGAGGUUUGGCACCUCGAUGUCGGCUCAUCGCAACCUGGGGCGGAAGUACGUCCCAAGGGUUGGGCUGUUCGCCCAUUAAAGCGGUACGUGAGCUGGGUUCAGAACGUCGUGAGACAGUUCGGUCCAUAUCCGAUGUAGGCGUGAGAAUAUUGAGAGGAGCCUUCCUUAGUACGAGAGGACCGGGAAGGACGCACCGCUGGUGUACCUGUUAUGAUGCCAAUUGUAAACGCAGGGUAGCCAAGUGCGGAGAGGAUAACCGCUGAAAGCAUCUAAGUGAGAAGCCCACCUCAAGAUGAGUAUUCUGGUGUAAGGUCACGGGAAGACGACCCGUAAAUAGGCACGAGGUGGAAGUGCAGAGAUGUAUGAAGCCGAAGUGUACUAAUAGACCGUCGGCUUGACCA